GCUUGAGUUCAUAUUGGCUCGUGCGCUCAUGGAAAGCUGAUGUGUGGCGCGCUCUGAGAGUCUCUCACAUUUCAGGAAGUGUCGGAAGUCCUCAGCUGCUGUCCGUCUGUCCUGCUCUAUAUUAUGGUCGCGCAGCCGUGAUCCGCGUGGAUCGUUGGUGUGGAUCUCCGGUGGGGCACCAUGUCCACCCGGUACAGCCCGAGGCGUGCGCUCCUGCUCCUGCCCGCGGUCUGCGCGCAUGUUGUGUCCGUGCUGACUGUCUGCUGCGCCGGGAGCAUGUUUACAGCCGCUGCCUAUCCGAAUCAACACGACACGCUGGAGCGUUAUGACAUAAUCAAACCACACCUGCUCAUUGGAGGACAGCAGAGACCGGUUAGUCUCAUAAAGUCAAUGGGUCAUCCUGGAUCACUGAAGGUGCUGAUUGAAGUGGAUGGAGAGCAACUGCUACUUGCUUUGCAGAAAAAUGAGUGGACGUAUGAACCAGACGAAACAAAAGAUGGAUUUUUGGAGUUGAAAUGGAGCCAUUUGCAUUGUUCUGCGUAAUGAGUCAGCAGUGUAAUAGAGAGGAAUAUUAGCUCUGUUCAAAGCCUAGUGAUCUGCUCAUGUUUGGUUUGAGUGAGGGGAUUCAGAAAAACCACUGGCCAUAAAUAGCUCUUAUUGCACAUGAAAUUGGAUUUUGUACUAGAUUAAUAAUAAAAAAAAGUGUCUUCAUGAUUUAAGCAGUGUUUAAUCUUCUACAUGACCGAUGUAUACUGACGUUCCUCAUCUAAUGACGAAAAGGGAGUUACAGC
This 791-nucleotide long non-coding RNA is filed under the name Sinocyclocheilus grahami. RNAcentral describes it as "lncRNA (ENSSGRG00000048210.1)". Lineage: Eukaryota; Metazoa; Chordata; Actinopteri; Cypriniformes; Cyprinidae. The record is from RNAcentral.